This 790-nucleotide ribosomal RNA is filed under the name uncultured bacterium. RNAcentral's name for it is "bacterial SSU rRNA". It matches the Rfam family "Bacterial small subunit ribosomal RNA", at positions 60 to 871 of the family's 1533-position model. The record is from RNAcentral.
AGUCGACGAUUAAAGCACCUUCGGGUGUGUAUAGAGUGGCGAACGGGUGAGUAACACGUGACCAACCUGCCUCUUACAUUGGGACAACCAAAAGAAAUUCUGGCUAAUACCAAAUACUCCGCACAUAUCACAUGAUGUAUGCGGGAAAGCUUUUGCGGUAAGAGAUGGGGUCGCGGCCCAUUAGGUAGACGGCGGGGUAGAAGCCCACCGUGCCGAUGAUGGGUAGCCGGGUUGAGAGACCGACCGGCCACAUUGGGACUGAGAUACGGCCCAGACUCCUACGGGAGGCAGCAGUGGGGAAUAUUGCGCAAUGGGGGAAACCCUGACGCAGCAACGCCGCGUGCGGGAUGAAGGCCUUCGGGUUGUAAACCGCUUUCAGCAGGGAAGACAUCGACGGUACCUGCAGAAGAAGCCCCGGCUAACUACGUGCCAGCAGCCGCGGUAAUACGUAGGGGGCGAGCGUUAUCCGGAUUCAUUGGGCGUAAAGCGCGCGCAGGCGGUUGCUCAAGCGGAACCUCUAAUCUCGGGGCUUAACCUCGAGCCGGGUUCCGAACUGGACGACUCGAGUGCGGUAGAGGCAGAUGGAAUUCCCGGUGUAGCGGUGGAAUGCGCAGAUAUCGGGAAGAACACCAACGGCGAAGGCAGUCUGCUGGGCCGUCACUGACGCUGAGGCGCGAAAGCUGGGGGAGCGAACAGGAUUAGAUACCCUGGUAGUCCCAGCCGUAAACGAUGAGCGCUGGGUGUGGGAGAUUACAUCUUCCGUGCCGAAGCUAACGCAUUAAGCGCUCCG